Molecule: transfer RNA, 73 nt
Filed under: Trachymyrmex cornetzi
Lineage: Eukaryota; Metazoa; Arthropoda; Insecta; Hymenoptera; Formicidae
Rfam family: tRNA
About the family: Transfer RNA (tRNA) molecules are approximately 80 nucleotides in length. Their secondary structure includes four short double-helical elements and three loops (D, anti-codon, and T loops). Further hydrogen bonds mediate the characteristic L-shaped molecular structure. tRNAs have two regions of fundamental functional importance: the anti-codon, which is responsible for specific mRNA codon recognition, and the 3' end, to which the tRNAs corresponding amino acid is attached (by aminoacyl-tRNA synthetases). tRNAs cope with the degeneracy of the genetic code in two manners: having more than one tRNA (with a specific anti-codon) for a particular amino acid; and 'wobble' base-pairing, i.e. permitting non-standard base-pairing at the 3rd anti-codon position.
Source: Rfam by way of RNAcentral
GCCUCGGUAGUCUAAAGGCUUAGGACGCUCGCACGGAAUGCAAGAGAUCCGGGUUCGACUCCCGGCCGAGGUA